This 301-nucleotide ribosomal RNA is filed under the name uncultured bacterium. RNAcentral describes it as "partial 16S ribosomal RNA". It matches the Rfam family "Bacterial small subunit ribosomal RNA", at positions 509 to 807 of the family's 1533-position model. The record is from RNAcentral.
CAGUCGCCGCGGUAAUACGAAGGGGGCUAGCGUUGUUCGGAAUUACUGGGCGUAAAGCGCACGUAGGCGGCUUUGUAAGUCAGAGGUGAAAGCCUAGAGCUCAACUCCAGAACUGCCUUUGAUACUGGCGAUCUUGAGUAUGGGAGAGGUGUGUGGAACCCCGAGUGUAGAGGUGAAAUUCGUAGAUAUUCGGAAGAACACCAGUGGCGAAGGCGACACACUGGCCCAUUACUGACGCUGAGGCUCGAAAGCGUGGGGAGCAAACAGGAUUAGAUACCCGUGUAGUCCCUGUCUCUUAUAC